AGCUCCAAUAGCGUAUAUUAAAGUUGUUGCAGUUAAAAAGCUCGUAGUUGGAUUUCGGAGCGGAGCUCACGGUCCGCCUUCUUGGGUGUGCACUGUGCUGUUCUGUUCUUCUUCUCAUGGAGCGUGUGUGCUCUUCAUUGAGUGUGCACGUAACUCGGGACUUUUACUUUGAAAAAAUUAGAGUGUUCAAAGCAGGUCUUGGCUUGAAUACAUUAGCAUGGAAUAAUGAAAUAGGACUUUGGUUCUAUUUUGUUGGUUUUCGGAACCAAGGUAAUGACUAAUAGGGACAGUUGGGGGCAUUCGUAUUCAAUUGUCAGAGGUGAAAUUCUUGGACCUACGAAAGACGAACAACUGCGAAAGCAUUUGCCAAGAGUGUUUUCAUUAAUCAAGAACGAAAGUA
This 400-nucleotide ribosomal RNA is filed under the name phytoplankton environmental sample. Its description in RNAcentral is "partial small subunit ribosomal RNA". It matches the Rfam family "Eukaryotic small subunit ribosomal RNA", at positions 587 to 991 of the family's 1831-position model. The record is from RNAcentral.